AGAUCAAUAAAAUACAAAUGUGUAUUGAUAUCAUGGUUUGUUCUACAAAGAACGAUGAAAUGUCUUGUCAUUCUAAAUCAAAUUAAAACUCGACAGCGGACUAUUUUUAUGUGCAUUUAGAACUUUGUUGACAGAUUGCGAUUCGUGCUCGCGUCGUCUGUCAAAGAUGAUUUGCAAAUUUUUCAUACUAGAAGCAAGGAGAUUGAAAAUUAUUCACAGGAAAAACAGUUUGUUUUGAGGCAAACAAAAUCAACAUUCAAUUAAAUAAAAAAGAGAGUUAAGGAAUUUACGUGCUUUUCCAUGCAUUGUAAGAUUUCCAGAAUAUAGAACAUGUAGUUCCUGAUAAAAAAAACACCAAAAGAUUGCUAAGAUAAAACUGUUGAGUAACUAUUUGUAAUACAGAAUGCACCAAGAUGGUGGUAUGCUACAUAUAUAAUAUUGAUACUAUGACAGAUGAGAAAAGAAACUGAAGACAUAACCAAAUGCUGAAGUCAGCAAAGAUUAAGAUAUAAAGAGUAGAUAUUUUCCUGAAGAUCUCAUUUAUGUCUCGAAUGUGAAGGGAACAGAAGCUAUCAUGAUGAUUCUUUAAAGAAAAGAUACAGAAACACAAGCUCCUGUAGACACUUAUGAAAAAGAAGAUGUUUUUGCAAUGAAUAUGUGUGAAUGUGAUAAAUUAUGGCAAAUCAACAUGGUCAAUUAACA
Molecule: long non-coding RNA, 702 nt
Organism: Mytilus trossulus (common blue mussel)
Lineage: Eukaryota; Metazoa; Mollusca; Bivalvia; Mytilida; Mytilidae
Exons: 3
Source: RefSeq, a predicted model, not a curated record